This 1028-nucleotide long non-coding RNA is filed under the name Felis catus (domestic cat). Its description in RNAcentral is "lncRNA (ENSFCAG00000049388.1)". Lineage: Eukaryota; Metazoa; Chordata; Mammalia; Carnivora; Felidae. The record is from RNAcentral.
CACAGCACUUUACGGUUUGUCUGGCCCUCUCUGUUGGCCCGUGAGGGAGGGCGCACGGGACACUUGGCUGGAUUUCCCGCUGAGGCAACAAGCUCAGGAAGGCGUGAGUCGCCGGUGGGGCCCCGGCCUCAGGGGGCCCCCGGACGGCUCUCCGGCAGCACUUGGGGCAGCACCUGUGCCCUCCUCCCCAGCCUCGCGCCCGGGCCUGCCCUUUCCGGAACGGGAGGAUCCGACAUCCGUCAGGCUGAACAAUUUGAAAACCCCAAAGAUGUGCGGUGCCCUGAGUCUGUGGGGAGCAGAGCCCCGGACUCGGCCUGGGUCGCGGCUCCUCCAGCGAGGACCCUGCGGCUCGAGGCACUGAGACCUUGGGAGGACUUCUCCUGGAGCUGCGUGUGUGCGGGCUGCCCUCCGGGUCGUUGUGCUGCACGGCCGAUGGGAUCCGUGUGUGGGGAGAGGAUGUGCUCCCAGCACACCCCGUCCAGCCCAGCUCAGAGCCACUGGAAGGAAGGCCAGCCUGGGAAGACGCUGGCGUGACAGUCCUGGGGCCACCACCAGCCGCUGCUUGAUUCUCCCUCGGCUGUGGAUUCAGGCCUGCCUUCCAGCCCUUUCCGAGUGCCGGCAACUUUCCAAGGUGUUAGACACGUCCUGGUUGAUGAGCAGCCCCUUUCUCCCCUGAGCAAAGGGUCCAGUUGGAGAGACAGAUGUGAAGCCAGGGGACGUGCAGGGUCAUCUAAGUGUCGGCCAGGACAGGCGCAGGUGGGCGGCUUGGACCCUGGAUUGGUGCUUGUCUCUGUGACAAAGAGGGAAAUUUGCUGCAGAAAACGCACCUCGCCUGCACCUUGGCGGCCUGGGAGGCCGCGAGGAGUGGAAGCCCUGAAAGCAUGUGUCACAGGCUCGGACCCCAGGGCCGAAAGUCCUUCUUCUCAGCAGAGAAGACACCCCACAAGGCUGUGUGCUGCUCGUAAGCAUCUGACAGGCAAAGUGAGGUUUCCAGACAGAAGAACUUGCCUGAGCUUGAACCGUUGGAA